UUUAUGAUAGUUUAUCAUUUUAUAUACAUUUAGUUAUAAAUUAACCAUUAUCUAAGUUAAAUCAUAAAAACUGUUACUUCUUUAAUCACCGGUCAUUUUGACCACACACGGUAGGAAUAUGUAUAUACGAAAUGUCGGUAGGUUUAGUAUCAAGUCUAUAAU
Molecule: long non-coding RNA, 162 nt
Organism: Bombus impatiens (common eastern bumble bee)
Lineage: Eukaryota; Metazoa; Arthropoda; Insecta; Hymenoptera; Apidae
Exons: 3
Source: RefSeq, a predicted model, not a curated record